GACGAACGCUGGCGGCGUGCUUAACACAUGCAAGUCGAACGAAGAGCGAUGGAAGCUUGCUUCUAUCAAUCUUAGUGGCGAACGGGUGAGUAACGCGUAAUCAACCUGCCCUUCAGAGGGGGACAACAGUUGGAAACGACUGCCAAUACCGCAUACGAUCCAAUCUCGGCAUCGGGACUGGAUGAAAGGUGGCCUCUAUUUAUAAGCUAUCACUGAAGGAGGGGAUUGCGUCUGAUUAGCUAGUUGGAGGGGUAACGGCCCACCAAGGCGAUGAUCAGUAGCCGGUCUGAGAGGAUGAACGGCCACAUUGGGACUGAGACACGGCCCAGACUCCUACGGGAGGCAGCAGUGGGGAAUCUUCCGCAAUGGACGAAAGUCUGACGGAGCAACGCCGCGUGAGUGAUGACGGCCUUCGGGUUGUAAAGCUCUGUUAAUCGGGACGAAUGGUUCUUGUGCGAAUAGUGCGAGGAUUUGACGGUACCGGAAUAGAAAGCCACGGCUAACUACGUG
This 510-nucleotide ribosomal RNA is filed under the name uncultured bacterium. RNAcentral describes it as "partial 16S ribosomal RNA". It matches the Rfam family "Bacterial small subunit ribosomal RNA", at positions 28 to 507 of the family's 1533-position model. The record is from RNAcentral.